CACCUGUUGUGCUUCACUGUUAAUGGAAGAAUGUCAAAUUUGCAAGCCCAGGAAAGAAGAAAAAAAUACAAAUAUUCCAUCAACGUUGUUCAAGGGUUCCUUCCUGGCCAGCAUUUGCAUCUGACCAAUUGUGUCUGGUCUUUUUGACACAGGCCAUUCUCACAGGUUGUUGAUCAACUAGUGGGAAGUUAAUGAAACAACAUUACACAAAGGUCUCUGUUCAAGUGGCAAGUUACUAGCUUUUCAACAACUACACAACAGAACUGAAUCUUAUUUGCAUGAAGAAGAGUGUGCCCUGAAAUGAAAAGCUCAUACAAAAAGAUUAAAUUAGCUUUUGA
This is a long non-coding RNA of Talpa occidentalis (Iberian mole), 338 nucleotides long. RefSeq lists it as uncharacterized. The record is from RefSeq and is a predicted model, not a curated record. Lineage: Eukaryota; Metazoa; Chordata; Mammalia; Eulipotyphla; Talpidae. The transcript is spliced from 3 exons.